UACGCAGGUGGCAAGCGUUGUCCGGAAUUAUUGGGCGUAAAGCGCGCGCAGGCGGCCUUUUAAGUCUGAUGUGAAAUCUUGCGGCUCAACCGCAAGCGGCCAUUGGAAACUGGGAGGCUUGAGUACAGAAGAGGAGAGUGGAAUUCCACGUGUAGCGGUGAAAUGCGCAGAUAUCAGGAGGAACACCCGUGGCGAAAGCGGCUCUCUGGGACGGUACUGACGCUGAGGUGCGAAAGCGUGGGGAGCAAACAGG
RNAcentral lists this ribosomal RNA (253 nucleotides) under uncultured bacterium. RNAcentral describes it as "partial 16S ribosomal RNA". It matches the Rfam family "Bacterial small subunit ribosomal RNA", at positions 524 to 776 of the family's 1533-position model. The record is from RNAcentral.